AGAGUUUGAUCCUGGCUCAGGACGAACGCUGGCGGCGUGCCUAAUACAUGCAAGUCGAACGCUUCUUUUCUACCGAGUGCUUGCACUCACUUGAAAAGAGGAGUGGCAGACGGGUGAGUAACACGUGGGUAACCUACCCAUCAGAGGGGGAUAACACUUGGAAACAGGUGCUAAUACCGCAUAAUAGUCGACAUCGCAUGGUGUUGAUUUGAAAGACGCUUUCGGGUGUCACUGAUGGAUGGACCCGCGGUGCAUUAGCUAGUUGGUGAGGUAACGGCUCACCAAGGCCAUGAUGCAUAGCCGACCUGAGAGGGUGAUCGGCCACACUGGGACUGAGACACGGCCCAGACUCCUACGGGAGGCAGCAGUAGGGAAUCUUCGGCAAUGGACGAAAGUCUGACCGAGCAACGCCGCGUGAGUGAAGAAGGUUUUCGGAUCGUAAAACUCUGUUGUUAGAGAAGAACAAGUAGGAGAGUAACUGCUCUUACCUUGACGGUAUCUAACCAGAAAGCCACGGCUAACUACGUGCCAGCAGCCGCGGUAAUACGUAGGUGGCAAGCGUUGUCCGGAUUUAUUGGGCGUAAAGCGAGCGCAGGCGGUUUCUUAAGUCUGAUGUGAAAGCCCCCGGCUCACCCGGGGGAGGGUCAUUGGAAACUGGGAGACUUGAGUGCAGAAGAGGAGAGUGGAAUUCCAUGGUGUAGCGGUGAAAUGCGUAGAUUAAUAUGGAGGAACACCAGGUGGGCGAAGCGACUCUCUGGUCUGUAACUGACGCUGAGCUCGAAAGCGUGGGGAGCAACAGGAUUAGAUACCCUGGUAGUC
This 819-nucleotide ribosomal RNA is filed under the name uncultured bacterium. RNAcentral describes it as "bacterial SSU rRNA". It matches the Rfam family "Bacterial small subunit ribosomal RNA", at positions 8 to 795 of the family's 1533-position model. The record is from RNAcentral.